UACGAAGGGGGCUAGCGUUGUUCGGAAUUACUGGGCGUAAAGCGCACGUAGGCGGCUUGGUAUGUCGGGUGUGAAAUCCCCGGGCUCAACCUGGGAACUGCAUCCGAAACUGCCUUGCUCGAGUAUGGGAGAGGGAAGUGGAAUUUCCGGUGUAGCGGUGAAAUGCGUAGAUAUCAGGAAGAACACCAAUGGCGAAAGCAGCUCUCUGGGACGGUACUGACGCUGAGACGCGAAAGCGUGGGGAGCGAACAGG
This 253-nucleotide ribosomal RNA is filed under the name uncultured bacterium. RNAcentral describes it as "partial 16S ribosomal RNA". It matches the Rfam family "Bacterial small subunit ribosomal RNA", at positions 524 to 776 of the family's 1533-position model. The record is from RNAcentral.